RNAcentral lists this transfer RNA (69 nucleotides) under Rhinoceros unicornis (greater Indian rhinoceros). Its description in RNAcentral is "transfer RNA-Gly". Lineage: Eukaryota; Metazoa; Chordata; Mammalia; Perissodactyla; Rhinocerotidae. The record is from RNAcentral.
AUUCUUUUAGUAUCAAACAGUACAAUUGACUUCCAAUCAAUCAGCUUCGGUAAAACCCGAAAAAGAAUA